CUGCACAUUAUGCAACCACACCACGUGAGGAGCAUUAGAUGAUGACCUAUGUGAGCUCAUGCUUGGCUCAAAGCCACUAUUGUCUGUAAAAGGUAUAAUUACCCCGGUAAUGCUGCACAUAUGGCUCACUUGCACCCAGAGAGAGAGUAAAGCCAUGUCAAAACUGUCUACAAUUCCUCGAGUGUUUUUCCUGCUACCUGCCACUCACCCACCAACUCCCCUUGGACCUCAGUUAGAACCUGAGAAUUGGCAUAUCAAAUAGGAUCCUGAGAGUUGGAUGGGCAUUUUUGACUGCACUAGAAGAACUACACUUCCAGUCUCUGAGGGAUGCAGCACGUUGGUUGCAGGUGAGCGGGCAGUUGGCACAAGGGCAAGGUGACCACACCCUGAUUGAGUGGCUAUGGGCAGCCAUACGGACUAUGUGGGACGACACUGGUGAAAUACCUGAAACUAUUUAGAAGUGGUGGCAUCCCUCUUGUGGCGACAUUUGGCAGCAUGCAGUUGGGCCGUCAACAAAUCUAAGGUUAACAUGCUCCAACUGCAUUGUGGACUGGGCCCACACCUAUGCUGAGAUGACCAAUGUUUCCAGCUGUUGGUUCUGUACCACCCUUCCAGCAGCAGCUGUGCCUUGGCACAUGCAUUCAGCAUCUGCAGAGAACUGGACAUGGCUGGAGACUUGGGGUUCCAUAACAAUGCCUGGAACAUGAUGCAGCAAGCUUUGGACAAAGGACACUGCAAGACCCACAGCACGCCUGCCCCCUGGCUGGCCCAUAGUGUUUAUGAUGGGUGGGGCUGGCUCGUGGGGGAACAUGUAGUACCCCCAGCCCAAGCACCGCAGUGCAUAGAGCAACACUGUGGUAACACCACUGUGUGGGAUGGAUACCCAUCGCAGCCUGUGUAAACAUAACACAUGUCAUCACACUGAACAUAUGGUGGAACAAGCAGUCCCACCAAGGUUGGUCCCUGAUGGAUUUUGUGCCCCCUUAGGAGUUUAUGGGUCUGUGAGGACACAGGGUGGCCUUACCUACCAGCAGACGUUGUACCUGGGGGUGACCUUAUGUACCUGCCACUGUUCUCCUCAUGUUGCCCAGAUGCCUGCAUAAAUGGGAGGUGCUAUGCUCUCAGCUUCUGCGAUUGUGAUGAGCCCCCUGGUGGUUCUACCCCUUGACAAUGACUAUCCCUGGAGCAGGUGUCAUAACUGUAGAAGUACAAGUUACUGUUCUUGCACAGCACACCACUCAGGUUCUGAAUUCCACCUGAGUGGCACUCCUCCUGUUAACGGAUGAGGUUGAUUAGAUCAGAAAGGUGGUGUUGCAAAACUAAAUGGCCUUAAACAUAGUAACUGCUGCCUAAGGAGGCACCUGUGCCCUUUUAGGAACACAAUGUUUUACCUUUAUCCCUAACAAUCAGCAGAACAUAAUAGCAGCCCUGCGAGUGGGUCAUGGGAGAUUAAGGCAGUCAAGAGCCUUGCUGAUGAACCCCUGCAGAGAGGGUGGGCAUCCCUAGGCUCUGGCCUAUGCUGGGCCCUAAUAGUCAUGAGUGGCAUAGCUGGGAUCCUAGUAGUGAGCUGUUCCUCUCUGUAUUGUUGUUGUGAGUUAUGGAUUCAGGACUCUGCCCUAUGGGUAUGUGUUCCUGCCCAGAGGGUGCCCCUGGCCUAGAGCGUGGAAAGUAAGGGAAAUGGCUGUGCUUUAGUCAGGAGUAGGCUGGGGUAGACUUCCAGCGCAGCAUGACUCAGCAGGUUUGGAGUGCAGGUGCACAACCCCGCACAUUUAUGUAACCAUGUCACGUGAGUCACAUUAGGUGAUCAACCACAUGAGCUCGUGCUUGGCUUGGAGCCACUAUUGUCUGUAAAAGGUAUAAUUACCCUGCUAAUGCUCUACAUAUGGCUUGCUCAUGCCCAGAGAGAGAGUAAAGCCAUGUUGAAACUGUCUACAAUUCCUUGAGUGUUUUUCCAGCUACCCGCCACUCACCCACUGACUCCCCUCGGACCUCAGUUAGAACCUGACAAUAGCUUUUAAAGAUAUAAUGAGAUUGCAUACUUAAUAGACUACAGUAUAGAAUAAAGAUAACUUUUAUAUGCAUUGGGAAAACAAAACAAAUCCUAUGGUUCACUUUAUUGCAACAUUUGCUUCACUGGGGUGGUCUGAAACCGAACCUGCAGUAUCUCUGAGGUAUGCCUGUAUAUGCCCUCACAGCAACCAAUAUGUACUACAUAUUAUAGCAUUUGUCAUAUAUAGUUACAACUGACUGCUUCUCUGUCUCCAUUAUCAUACUUGAUGUCCCUGGAUUGUAAGAGCUAUAUAUUUCCCCAGCAGUUUUCCUAUUGUACAUUACAGUGAAAUUUUACUGUACAAAUAAAUGAAUAACUACAUAUAAAGGUCUUUUUUCAAUGCCUAGGAAAGAGUAGGGGGUCAAUAUAUUUCAAUUCUUUAUCAAUUUUCUCAGUCUGUAGUGAAGAUGAUGGUGUUACAAUCUCCUAGUAGAGUUCCCUCUGCUUUUUAUUUUGACCUUUUGCAUGAAGUACCAGGCCAUUAGGUGAAUCUUUUUUACUUAGAUCUAAGCCAAUUUUUACUGCUGAGUUUCAGAACCCAAACCCCAAUAAUCUCCUCAUAAUAGGAGAUUAAGUCCCGAUUUCCAUUUCUGGGCCUUCUUUUAAAAAGUGAACACUAGAGAAAAACGUCCAUAACAAUAGUUCAAGACACAUUCUUCAGACACCACAAUGCCAUGAUGAUGUGGGUAAAUGAGAUUCUUCCAAUAAACAUGCUCAUGGCUAGAUAUUUGUUAAAUUUAAAAUAUUUUCCAGGCUGGGUGCAGUGGCUCAUUGUUGCAAUCUCAGCACUUUGGGAGGCUGAGGCAGGCAAAUUGCUUGAGCUCAGGAGUCUGAGACUAGCCUGGCUAACAUGGUGAGACCCUGUCUCUACAAAAAAUACAAAAAUUAGCUGGGCAUCAUGGUGCAUGCCUGCAGUCCCAGCUAUGUGGGAGGCAGAGGUAGGAAGAUUACCUGAGCCUGGGAGGUCGAGGCUGCAGUGAGCCAUGAUUGCACCAUUGCACUCCAGCCUGGGAGACAGAUCCACUUAAAGAUCCACUAACUUGCAGAGGUUUUCCAUAAAGAUACAUGAUAUCUGGUAUUUCACACCUAUUCAUAACUAGAAUAUGAGUCUGUAUCUUUCAGUGUUUCUUUUUUUCCUUUUGAGACAGGAUCUCACUCUUUUACCCAGGCUGGAGUGCAGUGGCAUGAUCUGGGUUCGCUGCAACCUUAACUUCUCCAGG
Molecule: long non-coding RNA, 3270 nt
Filed under: Homo sapiens (human)
Lineage: Eukaryota; Metazoa; Chordata; Mammalia; Primates; Hominidae
Description: HSALNT0041257
Source: RNAcentral